AAGAGAGUGCAAGAGAACGUGAAACCGUUAUAGUGGAAGCGGAUGGAGCCGACGUAUCCGGUACGUAUUCAGCUGUUAGGCGGCGUGUGCUAUUCGUCGCGGGUUCUGCAAAGUCCCGCACGAGUGUUGCACGCGUUGUUGAGCAGUGCACUUGCGUACAGAGUGCGCCGAAUCGGUCGAGCACGUGGUUGGAAGCGCGACAAGAGGACUGGCCUCGGCUAGAAACCUGGUCUGUGCCAUACAACAAUUGGGCUUGGCUGUAUGAAAGGGACUGGUUGAACGCGUCCGUGUGGGGCUGGUUGAGUGGCCUUUGUGUGAUGCAUGCAUUCCAUAUUGGUGAUUUAGUCAGCCUCGGACGGAUGAUCUGUCCCCCAUUCGGUGUCUGGUCGGUCACCCAUUUGACCCGUCUUGAGACACGGACCAAGGAGUUUAAGGUGUGCGCAAGUCAAUAGGUGUUCCGAAGCCUAUAGGCGUAAUGAAAGUGGGCCAUUGAGUGGCUGUGAUGUGAGUGGAUGGAGAUUCGUCUACAGCCACGCAACAUCGACCCAUAACGCGAACUUGUUCUGUUGUGGAGUCCGAGCGUACGCUUUGAGACCCGAAAGAUGGUGAACUAUGCCUGAACAGGACGAAGUCAGAGGAAACUCUGAUGGAAGUCCGAAGCGGUUCUGACGUGCAAAUCGAUCGUCUGAUUUGGGUAUAGGGGCGCAAGACUAAUCGAACCAUCUAGUAGCUGGUUCCUUCCGA
This 744-nucleotide ribosomal RNA is filed under the name Aphelenchoides sp. Asp1764. Its description in RNAcentral is "eukaryotic LSU rRNA". It matches the Rfam family "Eukaryotic large subunit ribosomal RNA", at positions 381 to 964 of the family's 3401-position model. The record is from RNAcentral. Lineage: Eukaryota; Metazoa; Nematoda; Chromadorea; Rhabditida; Aphelenchoididae.